AUGGAUGAUAUCGAUAACUUUACCUUAUCAAAAAAAAAACAAAAAAAACAAAAGGAUGAUAUCGAUAAUGGCUUUUCAGCAUCUCCUUGGGAGUCCUUCAGCAAGACUAACUGAGAUCAAGCAUGAAGUUAAGAAUCAUGUUCCUCCUCCGUUCCGCAGGGGGCAUGUAUUUGCAACAAAAAUUGGUGUUCUGCAGGAAUUUUUGGCUAGAAAGCAUUUUGUGGAAGGAUUUCAAAGAACAUAAAGUUGACUUAAAUCUUCCACUGCGAUUCCCAAGGUUUAUUUUAUCAGUUUUUUUUUCUUCUUGACUGUCAGAAAAGUUCAUGACCAACAACUUUUUUACCGCUAACGUUGGUCAUUAGUCAUUACGGCUAAUAAUAGAAUUAAUCAAUUUUCGAGGAUACUGCGGCUGGCAAACAUAAUCUUGAAAAAGGUUUGGGAGCUUGAUUUUACAUGAUCUAAAGAUAGCAUUAUCCUACAACAGAUAUAGAUAUUUAAUUCAUUAAACGAUUAAUCGAUCAAGCUUUUUUAGGACGACGAAGGUAUUCCCGGAAUAUUGAUAAAAUUUGGACUUAUUGAAUUCUUCCUUACUCCCGUUGUAGCAGCAGCUGGCUUCAAGUACUGAUAAGACGUGUAUCCAUUUUCCCAAUCAGAAGAUUGUCUCUUCUUUUUUCGAGAGAUCUCACCUCUGCUUCCCUCUCAGUCUCGCUCUGUUUUCCCCCUGGUAAACGGGUUGAUUUUGGCUUUGAUGCGUAUCGGAUCAGAGUACAGCAUUUAGUUUGAAUGCUUGCUAGAGAACUCGCAGGAAUGUGAGAUUUUUACUUGUAGGAGAUUGAAGCUUUGACGAUCGUCAUCUCCUUUAAGACAAUUCCUCGAACAAUGGGGAUUGGAAUUUCACUGAUAUAUACCUUUCCACUUCCUGGCCACAUCUCGGUGAGCAACCGGAAAGUAUCUGUAUGGAGUGAAAUUUGUAAUUGAUAGGUGGACAAUCCAGGUGGUGACACGUGGCAAUAUGGACAGGUCAGACAUGAGUCGGCAGAAGUAGUGUCCGGUCCACUUCACAUGCUUGGCCAGCGAGCAUCCUGAGCUAUCAGUAGCCAGAGUCAUGGCUCCGGAGAUGAGGAGCCAACCACAGGGCGUUGACCGGAUAAGAUAAGGCUGUUACGGAAGAUGCCAAGAAUACUGCCAACCGUUACUUAGCCUCAAUAAUGAGCAGUUAAUGGAAUUUAUGAGGGCAUUACUUAUGGAUCUUGUUCCCUGAAAUAGCAUUUAGCUAUAAGUGGCAUCUUAUCUUGUUGAAGGGCAUUCAGAUUCUGGUUACGCAUGACACUUGUACUUUGGUAUUCUUGCUCGUUCACAAGCUUUAUUAUACCAUCGCAUAGUCUAACUCAGGAGCUCAGUCCGGCGGCCUUGCCAGCUUAUAACGUCGGAACUCAGGCUGCACUUGCUUGCUUAUCAAAUUACUCAAUUCUUGUUAUUUUGUUCUUUAAUCAUAUUACUGUGUUAUACUUCUUAUUCAUUCCCUUUGGUCAUCUCAAUUCGCAUGUCCAUAAAUCACGUGUACAAAUUCAACAGUACUGUUUUACGGGUAAAAAGUACGUAAGUGGCUUCUUGUCUCUUCAAUGGAACACGAUGUUCUUCAAUUUAACAUUUGUCCACUUGCGUGA
Molecule: long non-coding RNA, 1667 nt
Organism: Lycium barbarum (goji berry)
Lineage: Eukaryota; Viridiplantae; Streptophyta; Magnoliopsida; Solanales; Solanaceae
Exons: 3
Source: RefSeq, a predicted model, not a curated record